This is a non-coding RNA of Leptonychotes weddellii (Weddell seal), 610 nucleotides long. The record is from RefSeq and is a predicted model, not a curated record. NCBI's taxonomy places the organism in Eukaryota, Metazoa, Chordata, Mammalia, Carnivora, Phocidae.
UGGAACAAAAGGAAGCUCAUGCAUCAGAAAAGGUGACUAAUAAACAUACCAGUAGAAUAUGGCUGCACAAAUACCAGAAUCUGAUCAGAUAAAACAGUUCAAGGGAUUUCUUGGAACCUACAAUAAACUUACAGAAACCUGCUUUUGGGAUUGCGUUAAAGACUUCACAACAAGAGAAGUAAAACCUGAAGAGACCACCUGUUCCGAACAUUGCUUACAGAAAUAUUUAAAAAUGACACGAAGAAUAUCCAUGAGAUUUCAGGAAUAUCAUAUUCAGCAGAAUGAAGCCCUGGCAGCCAAAGCAGGACUUCUUGGCCAACCACGAUAGAGAAGUCCUAAUGGAUGGACUUUUGAUGAAAGAUUGCCAGCAGGUGUUGUGAUGGAAAUGAGGAUUCAUCUGAUAGAAUCCCCUGAAAGCAGUAGCCACCAUAUUAAACUGUCUGUCAUAACUUUGGCAAAUGGAAACAACUGCAGAAACAAAAUUGCUAUUUACGGAGAAUAAUCAAAAUAGGAGGUCUUAUUGUUCAAUGAAAAUAAUAAGAUGCAACAUUUGUUGAGGCCUUAAGAUUCAGCAGCUUGGUAAUUUCAUUAGAAAAAUAAACCACUGUUU